This 423-nucleotide ribosomal RNA is filed under the name uncultured bacterium. Its description in RNAcentral is "bacterial SSU rRNA". It matches the Rfam family "Bacterial small subunit ribosomal RNA", at positions 207 to 622 of the family's 1533-position model. The record is from RNAcentral.
AAGACCUUGCGCUUUUGGAGCGGCCGAMGCCUGAUUAGCUUGUUGGUAAGGUAAAAGCUUACCAAGGCUUCGAUCAGUAGCUGGUCUGAGAGGACGACCAGCCACACUGGGACUGAGACACGGCCCAGACUCCUACGGGAGGCAGCAGUGGGGAAUUUUGGACAAUGGGGGCAACCCUGAUCCAGCCAUGCCGCGUGAGUGAAGAAGGCCUUCGGGUUGUAAAGCUCUUUCAGCCGGAACGAAACGGUUACGGUUAUUACCCGUGACUACUGACGGUACCGGAAGAAGAAGCACCGGCUAACUACGUGCCAGCAGCCGCGGUAAUACGUAGGGUGCGAGCGUUAAUCGGAAUUACUGGGCGUGAAGCGUGCGCAGGUGGUUUUGUAAGUCAGAUGUGAAAGCCCCGGGCUCAACCUGGGAACU